AUUGAACGCUGGCGGCAUGCCUUACACAUGCAAGUCGAACGGCAGCGGACCUUCGAGUGCCGGCGAGUGGCGAACGGGUGAGUAAUAUAUCGGAACGUACCUUUCAGUGGGGGAUAACGUAGCGAAAGUUACGAUAAUACCGCAUAUUCUGUGAGCAGGAAAGCAGGGGAUCGCAAGACCUUGCGCUGAUUGAGCGGCCGAUAUCAGAUUAGCUAGUUGGUGGGGUAAAGGCCUACCAAGGCUACGAUCUGUAGCGGGUCUGAGAGGAUGAUCCGCCACACUGGAACUGAGACACGGUCCAGACUCCUACGGGAGGCAGCAGUGGGGAAUUUUGGACAAUGGGCGCAAGCCUGAUCCAGCAAUGCCGCGUGUGUGAAGAAGGCCUGCGGGUUGUAAAGCACUUUCAGUGGGGAAGAACAGAUUCGGGUCAAUACCCCGGAGCCCUGACGUUACCCACAGAAGAAGCACCGGCUAACU
This 477-nucleotide ribosomal RNA is filed under the name uncultured bacterium. RNAcentral describes it as "bacterial SSU rRNA". It matches the Rfam family "Bacterial small subunit ribosomal RNA", at positions 30 to 502 of the family's 1533-position model. The record is from RNAcentral.